ACUCCUACGGGAGGCAGCAGUAGGGAAUCUUCCACAAUGGGCGCAAGCCUGAUGGAGCAACACCGCGUGAGUGAAGAAGGGUUUCGGCUCGUAAAGCUCUGUUGUUAAAGAAGAACACGUAUGAGAGUAACUGUUCAUACGUUGACGGUAUUUAACCAGAAAGUCACGGCUAACUACGUGCCAGCAGCCGCGGUAAUACGUAGGUGGCAAGCGUUAUCCGGAUUUAUUGGGCGUAAAGAGAGUGCAGGCGGUUUUCUAAGUCUGAUGUGAAAGCCUUCGGCUUAACCGGAGAAGUGCAUCGGAAACUGGAUAACUUGAGUGCAGAAGAGGGUAGUGGAACUCCAUGUGUAGCGGUGGAAUGCGUAGAUAUAUGGAAGAACACCAGUGGCGAAGG
Molecule: ribosomal RNA, 394 nt
Filed under: uncultured bacterium
Lineage: Bacteria
Description: bacterial SSU rRNA
Rfam family: Bacterial small subunit ribosomal RNA
Source: RNAcentral